CUGCUAACAGUGGGCGAGCAGGCGGGGUAAGUAAGAGUUCGCAAGCGUGAUGCGGUUUCACUGCGCGUAAAGGGUGCGUAGGUUGUUGGGUAAGUCGGUUGUGAAAUCUCCGAGCUCAACUCGGAAAUGGCAUUGGAAACUACCUUGCUCGAGGGUUGGAGGGGGGACUGGAAUGCUUGGUGUAGCAGUGAAAUGCGUAGAUAUCAAGCGGAACACCAGUGGCGAAGGCGAGUCCCUGGACAACUCCUGACACUGAGGCACGAAAGCUAGCGGAGCAAACAGGAUUAGAUACCCUGGAGUC
The sequence is a ribosomal RNA, 301 nucleotides long. It matches the Rfam family "Bacterial small subunit ribosomal RNA", at positions 494 to 795 of the family's 1533-position model.